AUGGACUCCUGGCAAAGAAGGGUUGGAUCCAUGGAAGAGGCCAGCGAAUGGGCGCUCCUCACGGCCUCCUACGCCGCCAACUCCGCAAUCGUCCACGCUGUCUACCGCUACCUCGUCCCCUGCAGCCAGGUAACGACGAGUGCACAACCAGUGAUUCUCCUGUCCUGUGUUCCACUACUACAACCCGUUGGCUCUUGGCUGGUUGCUAGAUAUCCCGAUCAAAUCUUUUAUCCGGGUUCGUCCUCUGCUGCAGUCCUUGUUUCGGCGGUGCGACCAGCUGACGAGCGUGGAUCCCGCCGAGGACACCACCCUCUGGACCGGGAUGCUGUGCUGCCUGCGCCACACUCCAGGCGGCCGCGGCGGUGCUAG
RNAcentral lists this ribosomal RNA (369 nucleotides) under Triticum aestivum (bread wheat). RNAcentral's name for it is "partial small subunit ribosomal RNA". Lineage: Eukaryota; Viridiplantae; Streptophyta; Magnoliopsida; Poales; Poaceae. The record is from RNAcentral.